CCUACGGGAGGCAGCAGUGAGGAAUAUUGGUCAAUGGGCGAGAGCCUGAACCAGCCAAGUCGCGUGAGGGAGUACUGCCCUAUGGGUUGUAAACCUCUUUUGUCGGGGAGCAAAAGCCGGACGUGUCCGGCUGUGAGAGUACCCGAAGAAAAAGCAUCGGCUAACUCCGUGCCAGCAGCCGCGGUAAUACGGAGGAUGCGAGCGUUAUCCGGAUUUAUUGGGUUUAAAGGGUGCGCAGGCGGAUUUUUAAGUCAGCGGUCAAAUUUUGUGGCUCAACCAUGAGAGUGCGGCGCGAACUGGAGACCUUGAGUGCGCGGAAGGCAGGCGGAAUUCGUGGUGUAGCGGUGAAAUGCUUAGAUAUCACGAAGAACCCCGAUUGCGAAGGCAGCCUGCCGCAGCGUUACUGACGCUGAAGCUCGAAAGCGCGGGUAUCGAACAGGAUUAGAUACCCGAGUAGUC
Molecule: ribosomal RNA, 459 nt
Filed under: uncultured bacterium
Lineage: Bacteria
Description: partial 16S ribosomal RNA
Rfam family: Bacterial small subunit ribosomal RNA
Source: RNAcentral